Molecule: small RNA, 56 nt
Filed under: Arabidopsis thaliana (thale cress)
Lineage: Eukaryota; Viridiplantae; Streptophyta; Magnoliopsida; Brassicales; Brassicaceae
Description: ATSL151720
Source: RNAcentral
UUUUUUGUUUGUUUUUUAAAUUCUUUUCCCUUUUUAUAUGUGGGUUUUAUACAUAA